RNAcentral lists this ribosomal RNA (440 nucleotides) under uncultured bacterium. RNAcentral's name for it is "partial 16S ribosomal RNA". It matches the Rfam family "Bacterial small subunit ribosomal RNA", at positions 338 to 795 of the family's 1533-position model. The record is from RNAcentral.
CCUACGGGAGGCAGCAGUGGGGGAUAUUGCACAAUGGGGGAAACCCUGAUGCAGCGACGCCGCGUGGGUGAAGAAGCGCCUCGGCGCGUAAAGCCCUGUCAGCAGGGAAGAAAAUGACGGUACCUGAAGAAGAAGCCCCGUCUAACUACGUGCCAGCAGCCGCGGUAAUACGGAGGGGGCAAGCGUUAUCCGGAUUUACUGGGUGUAAAGGGGGCGCAGACGGCGAUGCAAGCCAGGAGUGAAAGCCCGGGGCCCAACCCCGGGACUGCUCUUGGAACUGCGUGGCUAGAGUGCAGGAGGGGCAGGCGGAAUUCCUGGUGUAGCGGUGAAAUGCGUAGAUAUCAGGAGGAACACCGAUGGCGAAGGCGGCCUGCUGGACUGCAACUGACGUUGAGGCCCGAAAGCGUGGGGAGCAAACAGGAUUAGAUACCCGAGUAGUC